Molecule: non-coding RNA, 1052 nt
Organism: Misgurnus anguillicaudatus (oriental weatherfish)
Lineage: Eukaryota; Metazoa; Chordata; Actinopteri; Cypriniformes; Cobitidae
Source: RefSeq, a predicted model, not a curated record
AAAUCUUCAUCCCAGAAAGCACAACAAGCAUUGAUGGGCACGUCAGACUCUGAUGGGACCGCACUGUUGAUUAGAAAUCCUCCUGAAAAAAAUCUCGCCAAGGAACGUCAUCUAGUCCAGAUCGAAAAUAUCCUAAACAGCAUCCCUGGAGGCGAUAAGGUCAUAAAGGAAUACGCUCGCACAAAGUCUUUCAGAUGGCAAAAGACGUGACAUGGUGAAAAUCUUGGUAGCACAUUUAACAAAGGAACAUGGAUCUUCCCCUUACGGAUGUUUGAAGGAAGAAUAUGCAAAGGGUAUUAUCUCCAUAUUGCCAUGCUUUGCUGACCCCAGGAGCAAGCUUGGUUAUGAGCAUUAUUACAAUGCAGAAGAUGGAAGUGGAUAUUUGGUGUGGAGAAUUAAAACACAAGCAUCAGAGGGACGGAUAAAAUGCCCACGGCAACCACAAAUAGGUGCAUGACUUGCAGAUUGAUUUGCAGAUUUUGGACUUCUAUUUGGUGAGGCGACCACUGCAAAGUUGUUGGAGAAAUGGUUUACCAACAUAAAACCAAAGGUUAUUGCACAGACCCGUGGCCUCAAACAGACUUGUAAAGUCCAAGACCUCUUCCAAAAUGCUGAAGUUGAAGAUGGUAACUAUUGUGCUAUACAUACAUGUGCUAUACAAGUUAUGAAUUCAUGAAGAAUGGCUUAGAACCAUAGUUUCAAUUGUAUUAUUUAUUGUAUUAUAUUUACAACAUAUAAUCCAUGCUUUUGUUAUUUGGAGUCCCAAAUGAAAACUAUUUUAAACUGUAAAUCUACAACUCGCAUACUAGGCCCUUGUGAAAACCCAUCUGAAAGCGCUCUAUUUUUACACACUAAUAUUGUACUUUAUAUACAAAAAAAUUCUUCUUUUGUACUUCUUGAGAUAAUCUUAAGAACAUCUAAGUAUACUUGUCUGUACUAUUUUGAGACACCAUGAAUAUGAACUGAAAUAUGCUUAAAAUAUAUUAAAAAAAUGUAUUUAGGUACCGCUUGUAGUAAACUUAAACCCAUCUUUCAUACAAACAAGUGGUAAA